AGGUAUCAGAAGUGCGAAUGCUGACAUAAGUAACGAUAAAGCGGGUGAAAAGCCCGCUCGCCGGAAGACCAAGGGUUCCUGUCCAACGUUAAUCGGGGCAGGGUGAGUCGACCCCUAAGGCGAGGCCGAAAGGCGUAGUCGAUGGGAAACGGGUUAAUAUUCCCGUACUUGGUGUUACUGCGAAGGGGGGACGGAGAAGGCUAUGUUGGCCGGGCGACGGUUGUCCCGGUUUAAGCGUGUAGGUGUGUGUUCCAGGUAAAUCCGGUUCACUUUAACACUGAGGCGUGACGACGAGGCACUACGGUGCUGAAGCAACAAAUGCCCUGCUUCCAGGAAAAGCCUCUAAGCAUCAGGUAACAUCAAAUCGUACCCCAAACCGACACAGGUGGUCAGGUAGAGAAUACCAAGGCGCUUGAGAGAACUCGGGUGAAGGAACUAGGCAAAAUGGUGCCGUAACUUCGGGAGAAGGCACGCUGACACGUAGGUGAAGUGAUUUACUCAUGGAGCUGAAGUCAGUCGAAGAUACCAGCUGGCUGCAACUGUUUAUUAAAAACACAGCACUGUGCAAACACGAAAGUGGACGUAUACGGUGUGACGCCUGCCCGGUGCCGGAAGGUUAAUUGAUGGGGUCAGCGCAAGCGAAGCUCCUGAUCGAAGCCCCGGUAAACGGCGGCCGUAACUAUAACGGUCCUAAGGUAGCGAAAUUCCUUGUCGGGUAAGUUCCGACCUGCACGAAUGGCGUAAUGAUGGCCAGGCUGUCUCCACCCGAGACUCAGUGAAAUUGAACUCGCUGUGAAGAUGCAGUGUACCCGCGGCAAGACGGAAAGACCCCGUGAACCUUUACUAUAGCUUGACACUGAACAUUGAGCCUUGAUGUGUAGGAUAGGUGGGAGGCUUUGAAGUGUGGACGCCAGUCUGCAUGGAGCCGACCUUGAAAUACCACCCUUUAAUGUUUGAUGUUCUAACGUGGACCCGUGAUCCGGGUUGCGGACAGUGUCUGGUGGGUAGUUUGACUGGGGCGGUCUCCUCCUAAAGAGUAACGGAGGAGCACGAAGGUUGGCUAAUCCUGGUCGGACAUCAGGAGGUUAGUGCAAUGGCAUAAGCCAGCUUGACUGCGAGCGUGACGGCGCGAGCAGGUGCGAAAGCAGGUCAUAGUGAUCCGGUGGUUCUGAAUGGAAGGGCCAUCGCUCAACGGAUAAAAGGUACUCCGGGGAUAACAGGCUGAUACCGCCCAAGAGUUCAUAUCGACGGCGGUGUUUGGCACCUCGAUGUCGGCUCAUCACAUCCUGGGGCUGAAGUAGGUCCCAAGGGUAUGGCUGUUCGCCAUUUAAAGUGGUACGCGAGCUGGGUUUAGAACGUCGUGAGACAGUUCGGUCCCUAUCUGCCGUGGGCGCUGGAGAACUGAGGGGGGCUGCUCCUAGUACGAGAGGACCGGAGUGGACGCAUCACUGGUGUUCGGGUUGUCAUGCCAAUGGCACUGCCCGGUAGCUAAAUGCGGAAGAGAUAAGUGCUGAAAGCAUCUAAGCACGAAACUUGCCCCGAG
RNAcentral lists this ribosomal RNA (1543 nucleotides) under Salmonella enterica. RNAcentral describes it as "partial 23S ribosomal RNA". It matches the Rfam family "Bacterial large subunit ribosomal RNA", at positions 1277 to 2803 of the family's 2925-position model. The record is from RNAcentral. Lineage: Bacteria; Pseudomonadati; Pseudomonadota; Gammaproteobacteria; Enterobacterales; Enterobacteriaceae.